RNAcentral lists this ribosomal RNA (484 nucleotides) under uncultured bacterium. Its description in RNAcentral is "partial 16S ribosomal RNA". It matches the Rfam family "Bacterial small subunit ribosomal RNA", at positions 30 to 507 of the family's 1533-position model. The record is from RNAcentral.
AUUGAACGCUGGCGGCAGGCCUAACACAUGCAAGUCGAGCGGAUGAAGGGAGCUUGCUCCUGGAUUCAGCGGCGGACGGGUGAGUAAUGCCUAGGAAUCUGCCUGGUAGUGGGGGAUAACGUCCGGAAACGGGCGCUAAUACCGCAUACGUCCUGAGGGAGAAAGUGGGGGAUCUUCGGACCUCACGCUAUCAGAUGAGCCUAGGUCGGAUUAGCUAGUUGGUGGGGUAAAGGCCUACCGAGGCGACGAUCCGUAACUGGUCUGAGAGGAUGAUCAGUCACACUGGAACUGAGACACGGUCCAGACUCCUACGGGAGGCAGCAGUGGGGAAUAUUGGACAAUGGGCGAAAGCCUGAUCCAGCCAUGCCGCAUGUGUGAAGAAGGUCUUCGGAUUGUAAAGCACUUUAAGUUGGGAGGAAGGGCAGUAAGUUAAUACCUUGCUGUUUUGACGUUACCAACAGAAUAAGCACCGGCUAACUUCGUG